RNAcentral lists this ribosomal RNA (416 nucleotides) under uncultured bacterium. RNAcentral's name for it is "bacterial SSU rRNA". It matches the Rfam family "Bacterial small subunit ribosomal RNA", at positions 462 to 874 of the family's 1533-position model. The record is from RNAcentral.
AGAAGAUCUGACGGUACCUCCCAAGAAAGCACCGGCUAACUCCGUGCCAGCAGCCGCGGUAAUACGGAGGGUGCAAGCGUUGCUCGGAAUUACUGGGCGUAAAGCGCACGCAGGCGGCCCUGCAAGUCGGAUGUGAAAGCCCCGGGCUCAACCCGGGAACUGCAUUCGAAACUGCUGGGCUUGAGUUCGGAAGAGGGUGGUGGAAUUCCUGGUGUAGAGGUGAAAUUCGUUGAUAUCAGGAGGAACACCGGGCGGCGAAGGCGGCCACCUGGUCCGAUACUGACGCUCAUGUGCGAAAGCGUGGGUAGCAAACAGGGAUUAGAUACCCUGGUAGUCCACGCCGUAAACGAUGAAUGCUAGGUGUUGGAGGUAUUCACCCCUUCAGUGCCGAAGUUAACGCAUUAAGCAUUCCGCCU